GGAUUUCAGUUGGUCGGGCUUCACUGUCCGUAUUGACUUGAUGGAUUCUUACCUUCUGAAUAACCAGCAUGCUAUUAAGUUAGUGCGUUGGGGAAGCAGAUCUAUUACCUUGAAAAAAUUAGAGUGCUUAAAGCGAGCUAGAGCUUGAAUAGAUUUGCUUGAAUAGAUUAGCAUGGAAUAAUAAAAUAGGACGGCAUGGUUCUAUUUUGUUGGUUUCUAGAGUCGCCGUA
RNAcentral lists this ribosomal RNA (230 nucleotides) under uncultured Acaulospora. RNAcentral's name for it is "partial small subunit ribosomal RNA". The stretch from base 31 to 230 matches the Rfam family "Eukaryotic small subunit ribosomal RNA", at positions 678 to 864 of the family's 1831-position model. The record is from RNAcentral. Lineage: Eukaryota; Fungi; Glomeromycota; Glomeromycetes; Diversisporales; Acaulosporaceae.